AUAGAUGUAGGAGAGAGGGAUUGGAAACGGAAGUAGAUUUCAAUGUACUUCACAUAUGACCUCGAUAAACAUCCUCGCCUCGCUUAAUGAGGGCUAAUUUAUUCCCCAGUAACCUCGCGGGUAACUGAGAUUAUUGCAAAUCUAGGAUUUUAUGAGUCGUCACUAGUAUUCUGUCAAGUUUUCCAGUAUCCAGUGCAACUGUGCUUUAUAUAGAUAGUGAAUAACCAUUAUUCAAGCUCUAUUUACCGUUGCAACUAUCUUCUUCAUUGAAUUUAGCAAUACCUCGCAAGCCAAAACGUACUGAGUACGCUGAAGAAAAGAAGACAGAAGAAUACCGAAGAAUACCCCUCCUCUCUACACCCCUACACGUCACUGCCCUCGUAAAUGUGUUCCGGCUAUAUAUACACUCUUGUAUACCUCACCAGCUUCUCUCCAUCUAAGACUGUCUGAUAGAGUGCUAAACUAAUCAUAAUUAUAGCUGUAAUAAUCAUUUUUAUCGUGUAAGUUGUUAAUGUUCGGUUUGAUCCCACUCGUUUUACACUUAGAAAGCAACUGGCAGUGCUGUGGAGUGUUUUGCUGUCUCCAAGUGUAUGUAAUUAUACUUAAUGAAUUGGAAAUUGAAAUGUACGCUCACCAGCCUAGUAUAUAUAGAAACUUCGUACAACUGAUUCAUCAAAAGUGAAAACAAUUAAGAAAGUUACAUGGUGUAUUAUGUAUCUUGUCGUGUGAAUGAUCAUGGUUAUUGCCUCAAACUAGUGGACUUCUUGAUGGUUUUCUUUUUCAUUUAAGUUUAAGUUGGCAGCAAAAGAGAAGCCUCUGACAGUCACAAAUACAUUCACAAUUUCAGGGAACUAAGCAUCCUCUGAUGAUUUUAUAUC
This is a long non-coding RNA of Halichondria panicea, 878 nucleotides long. RefSeq lists it as uncharacterized. The transcript has 2 exons. NCBI's taxonomy places the organism in Eukaryota, Metazoa, Porifera, Demospongiae, Suberitida, Halichondriidae. The record is from RefSeq and is a predicted model, not a curated record.